GCCCGCGGCCCGCACCGCAGAGCCUGGGUCCAGCGCUGGCUCCACUCCCGAUCCCGGCUUCCUCCUCCCUCCCUCCCGCACGCCCUGGGCAGCAGCAGGUGCUGACCGAUGUACUCGGAUCCCUGCCGUCCGCGAGAGACCAGGGUUGGAUUUCUGGCUCCCGCCUUCAGCCUGGCUCAGACCCAGCUGCCGCAGGGGCUUGGGGAGGGCACCGGCGGUUGGAUGCUCUCUCUCCACUCCUCUCUCUGCCUCUCCAUAGCUAAGCGAAUUUCACCCAGGCCCGUGACUGUGUCAACCGCUCUGAGAUGCACAACCCCACCCCCCCAACCUGUGCCAGCCCCCAAGCGAGCCCGCUGCUCUCCUGUCAUCAGGGAACGUGGCAGACGCGUGACCCCCCAGAGGCUCCCGUCCCGAUCCCUCACACAGCGACAGGGCCUUUGCAGCACCAGCGCAGGACAGCGUGUGACGUCUUCACCUACGCCCGCAAGCACACGCGUGUCAAUGUCUUCACCGACCCCAGCGAACACGCGUGUGUUAACAGCACGGCCCCCUGGAGAGAACAAAGUGGCCUCCCACACAGACCCCGGCCUCUCCCGUUCACGGGAAUUGGGGCCUAAGAGAAGCGCGUGCCCUGCCCCCCUCUCUGUGCGGGCCCAGGGGGUCUCGGGCUCAGGCCCGCGGCCACGGUGAGGCUGGAGGCCGGGCUGAGCCGCACACGGGGCGCCCUGAACGCCAGCGGCUGUUCCGGGGAGGCAGGAAGCGUGAAAUUCAUCGGAUGCUUCGGGGCAAAGUCACUGCACGUGGCGCCCGAGAGUGAAAGGUGUGGGAAUCAAACAAAUGAACCGACUGCGAGCAGAUCUCGUCUCAGCCUUCACCAGCUGCCCACUUUCAUUCCGGGAAUGAAAACGGGGGGAGGCGGCGGGAUGGGGCGAGGCGCAGGCGUCUUUGCCCCAGCAGGGAGCGGCGAGGCGCGGGGUGGGGGACCCCGCAGACCCCCGCCCUGGGCUUCUGCCUGCCUCCUGCUGAGCCCCACGUGGGAAGACGUGGUCCUCUCUUCAGCACUGGGCUGUCAGCCCCCUGAUUGCUUCAGUAAAACGUAAUUAAGAACAACGUGCAGACGCUGUGGCCUUCCUUCUGAUGAACUGUGCCCGCCCUACGUCGUGCUGGUGGUUUUGGACGACAGGGGAAGCUGUUCCCACGUCAACGUCACUCUCGUCCCCCUUGGGUUCCGGGGAGAAAGACAGCGUGAAGCCUGUUACUACCAUGCAGAGGAGUCAGGUGCGUGGGCUGUGCCCGGGGCUGUGUGGUCAGCGCAGCCCCCGCGGGCAGAGGCUGGAGGGGGCAACCCCCUCCCCUUCUCCAAAUCUGCUCACACGUUCCCUGCGAGAUCUGGGUGGCCUCACGGCCCGAGCACGGCGUGGCGGGGCACAGAGCAGUCCCUCUCCAGGGUACACUGACCACCCAGGAGGAGCAAAGCCACAGCAGGGCCCAGGACCACCCACCCACACGUGGCGUGUCCAGAACGGCGAUCGGCUAUGCUGAGCUCCUGGGCGGCUCCCUCAGCUCCCUCCACGCAGCGAAGCCCAGAAGGUGGGGACGGCGCUGACCCCGUCUCCCAGUUCUCUGCUCUGGCUACGUUCUGGUUUCCACCUUCAAGGUCCCCCCCAAUGGUCCAAAGUGGCUGUUGGAC
This is a long non-coding RNA of Oryctolagus cuniculus (rabbit), 1690 nucleotides long. NCBI's taxonomy places the organism in Eukaryota, Metazoa, Chordata, Mammalia, Lagomorpha, Leporidae. The record is from Ensembl.